Molecule: long non-coding RNA, 1757 nt
Filed under: Equus caballus (horse)
Lineage: Eukaryota; Metazoa; Chordata; Mammalia; Perissodactyla; Equidae
Description: lncRNA (ENSECAG00000052978.1)
Source: RNAcentral
UUCAUGAGUAUACAUUCGAUUUUUCUCUGUGUGGUACUGGUUGGGUGUCAAACCAUUCAGUAGAAGGAGGAGAGAUCUCCCAGGAGAACAACUUGAAAUCAAUAAAAAGGAUUAUGAGGACACAGGAGUUUGUGAAGCAAUUUAGCAAGGUAUCCAGGAAGUCAGGGAAUUCUCUGAAGAGCUGGGUGAUUGUGCAAACUGUAACAUGACUAGAGCAAAAGAAACAGUAAACUACGUGGAACUUGGGUCAGUGAAGGUGCCAAGGGUGUGGCAUACUUAGCAAGGGUGUGGUGUGGUGGGCAGGUGGGAUGCAGUUAAGUUUGGGGGUAAAUGGCAAAUAUCAGGCAACUGAGUGAGUGAGAGACAAGCUCCACCAACAAUCUGUUAAGAGGUUAUCUAUGAUAGUGGAGUGGUUUAUCCCACGCAGACCCUCCACCCUCUGACUGGGGAGGAAGAUAUCAGUUCCGAAGCAGGAGACUCCACCCACCAGACAAUUGCAGGGUUAAGAUACAAAUGGGGAAGGCCCCUGAGUUGUUUGCCCAUGAAAGGGAGGUGACAGCUCCAUUGUGGUGGAGGGUUGGGUAACGAGUAAGCUCUCCACUGGCAGAUCUUUCAACUCCUAAGAAAGGAAAAAGAUGUGUGUGUUGAAGAAGCUAGUCUAUUCACUAGCAGAAAUGAGCCCAUGUUAGGGAAGUCUUUCGGCAUUGUCUAAAAGAGGAUACAAACAGAGCACUGUUGUUACAGGGAAAGAUUACUCCCUGCUUAUCUUUUGGCCUCAGAAGUAGAAGAGUGUCUGAUCUCUACAAAUCAGAGAAUUAGUUGUCCAGACCCUUAACAGAAGGCCCUUAGGAACUUGGCUCACAAGGAUGGAGAAUUCAAAACUCCACCAAUAUGCUGGGAGAGAAGUGGAAUGGUUAUAAAGCUGAUUCUCUGGGUAUCUGAAAACUUUGGAGUAGGGGAGAUGAGUUUAGGUCUGUUUAAGAGACUUCGUUUUCUUGGCACCAGGAGGGUCAAGGUCCAAGUUUUUUGGACCCUGGAAAAGGAAUUCCAGAUCUUCUCUCAUACCUACAACCUCAUGCCUCACAUCCUGGAAGAGGAAGAUAGAGAAGUGAAACAGCUGGUUAUUUGAAAUUGUCCAUUCUCUGGCAAGCAAGGAAAGAUGGAGAAUUGAAUCCGAACAGAAAUGCAGUUGGCCAUGGAGAAGGAGGAAAGGCUGAAUUGGCUCUGACACAUCCAGCAGGAAACCUCCAGUGGAAGGUAGUAGGCAAAGAGUAGAUACUGAAGGCAGCAAAUCCCAAAUCACCCUGUUGUGGAUGCUCUCAAUCUGUGGGUGAAGAGAAGGAUGGCCCUGUGACCUGCUUUAACCAACAGAGUGUGGCAGAAGCAAUGAUGUUUCAAUUCAAGUCCGAAACCUUAAGAAGGUCUGCAAGUUCCCACUUUUGUGCUCUAGGGGAAGCUAGCCACCACGUAAGAAGUCUGACUACCCUAAGACCGUCUCUCUGUGAGAAUUUCAACCUAGCUCUGUGGAGAGGCAUGGGAAAGAGACCUGAAGGUCCUGGCCAGCAGCUCCAGCAGAGCUCCCAGCCAACAACCAGCACCAAUUUGCCAGCCAUGUAAGAGUAAGGCAUCUUGGAAGUGACUCCUCUAAGAACUGCCAGGCUGUUACCAUGUGGAGCAGAGAAGAUCCAGUUCCACCAAGCCCUGCCCAGAUUGGAGAAUCAUGAGCUAGUAAAGAAAAUGAUUGUUGUUUUAAGCCA